GAAAUGCGAUAAGUAAUGUGAAUUGCAGAAUUCAGUGAAUCAUCGAAUCUUUGAACGCACCUUGCGCCCUUUGGCAUUCCGAAGGGCACGCCUGUUUGAGUGUCGUGAACUCCUCCACCCUCUCCUUUUUCGAAAGGUGUUGGGCUGGGAUUUGGGAGCUUGCAGGUCCCUGGCCGAUCUGCUCUCCUUGAAUACAUUAGCGAAGCCCUUGCGGCCUUGGUGUGAUAGUCAUCUACGCCUCGGCUUAGCGAACUUAUGGGAGUCGCUUCUAAUCGUCUCGCAAGAGACAACUUUUACCAACUUGACCUCAAAUCAGGCGGGACUACCCGCUGAACUUAA
RNAcentral lists this unclassified non-coding RNA (339 nucleotides) under uncultured Peniophora. RNAcentral's name for it is "sequence contains ITS1". The stretch from base 1 to 105 matches the Rfam family "5.8S ribosomal RNA", at positions 50 to 154 of the family's 154-position model. Lineage: Eukaryota; Fungi; Basidiomycota; Agaricomycetes; Russulales; Lachnocladiaceae. The record is from RNAcentral.